CAUGUAGGCGGCUUAAUAAGUCGAGCGUGAAAAUGCGGGGCUCAACCCCGUAUGGCGCUGGAAACUGUUAGGCUUGAGUGCAGGAGAGGAAAGGGGAAUUCCCAGUGUAGCGGUGAAAUGCGUAGAUAUUGGGAGGAACACCGGUGGCGAAGGCGCCUUUCUGGACUGUGUCUGACGCUGAGAUGCGAAAGCCAGGGUAGCAACG
RNAcentral lists this ribosomal RNA (205 nucleotides) under uncultured bacterium. RNAcentral describes it as "partial 16S ribosomal RNA". It matches the Rfam family "Bacterial small subunit ribosomal RNA", at positions 568 to 773 of the family's 1533-position model. The record is from RNAcentral.